CCUACGGGGUGCUGCAGUGAGGAAUAUUGGUCAAUGGACGAGAGUCUGAACCAGCCAAGUAGCGUGAAGGAUGACUGCCCUAUGGGUUGUAAACUUCUUUUAUAUGGGAAUAAAAUGUUCCACGUGUGGGAUUUUGUAUGUACCAUAUGAAUAAGGAUCGGCUAACUCCGUGCCAGCAGCCGCGGUAAUACGGAGGAUCCGAGCGUUAUCCGGAUUUAUUGGGUUUAAAGGGAGCGUAGGUGGAUUGUUAAGUCAGUUGUGAAAGUUUGCGGCUCAACCGUAAAAUUGCAGUUGAAACUAGCAGUCUUGAGUACAGUAGAGGUGGGCGGAAUUCGUGGUGUAGCGGUGAAAUGCUUAGAUAUCACGAAGAACUCCGAUUGCGAAGGCAGUUCACUGGACUGCAACUGACACUGAGGCUCGAAAGUGUGGGUAUCAAACAGGAUUAGAUACCCGUGUGUC
Molecule: ribosomal RNA, 459 nt
Filed under: uncultured bacterium
Lineage: Bacteria
Description: partial 16S ribosomal RNA
Rfam family: Bacterial small subunit ribosomal RNA
Source: RNAcentral